GGGAGUGAGAAUGGUAUUCAUGACACGCACAUGCACGUCGGAUGCGACCCCAUCGGCGAUUGCACCUUUCAAGCGAGUGGCGAACGGGUGAGUAACACGUGGAUAACCUGCCUCAAGGCUGGGGAUAACAUUUGGAAACAGAUGCUAAUACCGAAUAAAACUUAGUAUCGCAUGAUAUCAAGUUAAAAGGCGCUACGGCGUCACCUAGAGAUGGAUCCGCGGUGCAUUAGUUAGUUGGUGGGGUAAAGGCUUACCAAGACGAUGAUGCAUAGCCGAGUUGAGAGACUGAUCGGCCACAUUGGGACUGAGACACGGCCCAAACUCCUACGGGAGGCUGCAGUAGGGAAUCUUCCACAAUGGGCGCAAGCCUGAUGGAGCAACGCCGCGUGUGUGAUGAAGGCUUUCGGGUCGUAAAGCACUGUUGUAUGGGAAGAAAUGCUAAAAUAGGGAAUGAUUUUAGUUUGACGGUACCAUACCAGAAAGGGACGGCUAAAUACGUGCCAGCAGCCGCGGUAAUACGUAUGUCCCGAGCGUUAUCCGGAUUUAUUGGGCGUAAAGCGAGCGCAGACGGUUGAUUAAGUCUGAUGUGAAAGCCCGGAGCUCAACUCCGGAAUGGCAUUGGAAACUGGUUAACUUGAGUGUUGUAGAGGUAAGUGGAACUCCAUGUGUAGCGGUGGAAUGCGUAGAUAUAUGGAAGAACACCAGUGGCGAAGGCGGCUUACUGGACAACAACUGACGUUGAGGCUCGAAAGUGUGGGUAGCAAACAGGAUUAGAUACCCUGGUAGUCCACACCGUAAACGAUGAAUACUAGGUGUUAGGAGGUUUCCGCCUCUUAGUGCCGAAGCUAACGCAUUAAGUAUUCCGCCUGGGGAGUACGACCGCAAGGUUGAAACUCAAAGGAAUUGACGGGGACCCGCACAAGCGGUGGAGCAUGUGGUUUAAUUCGAAGCAACGCGAAGAACCUUACCAGGUCUUGACAUCCUUUGAAGCUUUUAGAGAUAGAAGUGUUCUCUUCGGAGACAAAGUGACAGGUGGUGCAUGGUCGUCGUCAGCUCGUGUCGUGAGAUGUUGGGUUAAGUCCCGCAACGAGCGCAACCCUUAUUGUUAGUUGCCAGCAUUCAGUUGGGCACUCUAGCGAGACUGCCGGUGACAAACCGGAGGAAGGCGGGGACGACGUCAGAUCAUCAUGCCCCUUAUGACCUGGGCUACACACGUGCUACAAUGGCGUAUACAACGAGUUGCCAACCUGCGAAGGUGAGCUAAUCUCUUAAAGUACGUCUCAGUUCGGACUGCAGUCUGCAACUCGACUGCACGAAGUCGGAAUCGCUAGUAAUCGCGGAUCAGCACGCCGCGGUGAAUACGUUCCCGGGUCUUGUACACACCGCCCGUCACACCAUGGGAGUUUGUAAUGCCCAAAGCCGGUGGCCUAACCUUCGGGAGGGAGCCGUCUAAGGCAGACAGAUGGU
RNAcentral lists this ribosomal RNA (1467 nucleotides) under Leuconostoc citreum. Its description in RNAcentral is "bacterial SSU rRNA". It matches the Rfam family "Bacterial small subunit ribosomal RNA". The record is from RNAcentral. Lineage: Bacteria; Bacillati; Bacillota; Bacilli; Lactobacillales; Lactobacillaceae.